UUCUGAUACAGAUCCUAGUAAGGCGCUCUAGCGACGUUCUGUUGCUAUGGUUACCUCCUCAAGCAAAUGCGAUUUCUUUUCGUAAGUGUUUUUUUGCGCAUUCUGUUGGCCUGCGCUGCACACACGCACUUCCUAGUUAGUGCGUGUGCAGUCAGCACAGGAAUCUAAAGGUGCAUCAUAUGCACCUGCAAGCUCUGUGGUGAUUUUAACAAUUAGCCCAUAGAUGUGCAAUUGAAUCUAAUGUUACGUAGCCUAUAAGCUUCGUAUAGCCUACGCCUCUACCUAAAAUCUGAGUUGAUUAUGUGGAUAAAUUGCGUUUAUUUCUUUGCGUAUUCGCGGAUAGAACGAAACCGACGAGCUUUCUUUUUAGUCUGCCCAUAUGCCAAUCCAAAACAGCGAGAGAAAUAAGAUGGGCGUAACUCUAAAUGGAUCAUGCACGCAGACUUUGGAACAAUAACUCAUCAAUUCACGACGGGACGCCGUUUAAGCGCGAGCUGCUUGAGUUUCUGCACACGUCCGUCCACGCAAGGGGACCAACGACAGACUCGAUCAUAGCAGUCCUCGGAGUAGUAGCACUGGAUACUUAGCAGGAAUCUGGAGAGCAAGUUGUGCACUUGAGCGUCAGAUCACUUAAGCCAAACGCCAAUGCCUGUUUGUAACUAAUUGACAUCAGUACUUUUCGUGAAGUAGAUGCGAGUUCUAUUCGCGAUUCUCGGGAAUAGUUCGUGGUUUGAACAAAUGCAUUGCUGCAAAGACCUCUGCCUUUACCAGUUUUUUUGAUAUUUGCUUGUGGAUUAGAUACUAUUAUGGAUCACCUCAAGUUUGGCACUGGAGGUGAGAGGUCAUUGUCCACUAAAAGGAAAAAGAGACCUUGGAAAUCAGUGAUAAAACAGUGAAAUGAACUGACCUCAGAUCAGGAGUCGGAAGACGAGCGGAGAGUGGGAGUAGCGAUAGUGGUGGAGGAGUGAACCCGGAGCAGGUGAACACAGCUGCGGACCGCCAUGGGCUCUCUUCCAUUGGUCCCGACUCUCCGUCUUCGGGUCUCUGAGAGACGGCAGGGGCCAGCCAGGGAGCGUCGGAGUGGGCAGGCGAGGCAGCUCGCUUUCCCCGCCGGCUACCGGCUCCUCGGCAGCGAGGAGGGAGAGAAAUCAAUACUGAGGAGAGAUGCUGCCAGGGGUCGCCCAAUGCUGCCUCCAGCCAUGGAGCCAUGGGAGCCCGAGUGUUCGGCUUUCUCUCUCUCGCAGCCCAAUCUCAGUCAACUCGCAUCAGCUAAAGAGAGGGCCAACAGCCUUGACGCUCUUCAUGCAACACCGAGUGUGUGUGUGCUUGCGUGUGUGGUUCUGCCAGAGGGCCUUUCCAGGCUCGGCAUCACUUGAUAAAACUUUGCCUGCUGGAGAACGAGUAGAAAAAGAAUGUCAAAGGUCUUUCUUUCCCCCAUCUUUGAUUCCUUUUUCGCCAUGAGUGCACAUUCCCCCUGACUGUUGUAAUGAGUGCUUGACGGAGAUCUCUUUUACGCUAAAUCAAGAGGCCUUCUUUUUUUUAGUGGUCCUCCUCCUAAGCAUGCACAAAGUGCUCUACAUCUGAUGGGCCGGGAUGAGAGAGCAGUUUGAAUCCUUUUUCCACCUGGCUUUACAUGAUGUUUUUUUGAUGGACGCCACUAUUCGAGAGGCUCGGAAAAGGACUUGGCCUUAGGUGAAGCUUUUGGCGCUUACCCUUCCUGGGCACUUUGUAACUGCUUUCACCCUUGACCGUGGCACUUGAUGGGUAUUAAUAACGGUGCGGACCAAUCGAGGACAGUGCGAGAUGAAGUUCCCAAAAAGUUGCUCCCACAAGGUUGCAGAUCCAUUGGGAUGUGGACAACUGAAACAUGGCCUGAACAAUUCGAAAAGUGGAGUGCUGGUGGCAGUGGAUAGUUCCUGUAUCCUUGGAUGCCCAACGGGAAGUCGGAUAUGGUUUGGGACUAAAUUUCGAUGCCAGGAUCAACACGGACCAUCAAGAGGAGAUGUUUUUCCUUUUUUUUUUUUUUUUUUUUUAUUACUGUACACAACUGUUUUUCAGUAAGACUACGUAUGUUAUUUUGGUGAAUCUCUUUUUUGUCAUCAAUAAAGUAUUUUUGGACAAUAACGGUAAGUUCAUUUUUUUUUAAAAGACUUUUGAAAUGUACAGGACAAAGGAUCAGUUAAUAAUAAAUGAGACUGACUUACUGGCAGUUUAAAAAGUUUAAUUGAACUUAGUCUUGAAUAGAUAGAUAGAUAGAUAGAUAGAUAGAUAGAUAGAUAGAUAGAUAGAUAGAUAGAUAGAUAGAUAGAUAGAUAGAUAGAUAUUCAGAUAUGUAUAUAUUCAUAUAGAUGGAUAGAUAUUCAGACAGAUGGACAUUCGUGUAGAUAGAUAUUCAGAUAUAUACAGUAGAUACUCAGAUGGUUAUAUAUUCAGAUAUAGACAUAGAUGGAUAGAUAUUUAUAUAUAGAUAUACAGAUAGAUAUUCAAAUAGCUAGAUGGAUAGAUGUGCAGAUAGAUCUUCAUAUAAAUGGAUAAAUAAUCAGAUAAGAAAAGUUUGCAAAAACAGAUAAUUCCAUUUUUUUAAAUGUUCAAAAAUCUUGUUUUUUUUUAUUAUGUUAUCAUGUUUUUAUUGUGUUAGUUAGCUGUAUUUAUUUAGUUAUUUUGACUUAAUCAAAAUAACUCAACUGCAGUUUGAUUGAGAUUAAUUGGAAUGCACAAUGAAAAACAUGAUUUUUGAAAAUUGUUUAAAAUGGAGUUAUGUUUUUGCAAAUUAACUCUUCAUAUUCAAAUAGAUGUGUAGAUAUUUGUAUAGAUAGACAGAUAGAUAGAUAUUUAUAUACAUAGGCAGAUACGUUGAUAGUUGUAGAUACUUACAUUUGCUAUGCUGUAAACUAUUUCCUGCCUAACUGCCUUGAAUUUAAGAUAUAAGUGUUUAAAUAA
Molecule: long non-coding RNA, 2940 nt
Organism: Onychostoma macrolepis
Lineage: Eukaryota; Metazoa; Chordata; Actinopteri; Cypriniformes; Cyprinidae
Exons: 5
Source: RefSeq, a predicted model, not a curated record